Non-coding RNA from Lonchura striata (white-rumped munia), 397 nucleotides. The record is from RefSeq and is a predicted model, not a curated record. Lineage: Eukaryota; Metazoa; Chordata; Aves; Passeriformes; Estrildidae.
UAAGUGAGCUUCCACUGGGGGUUUUCAGCAUCCAGUGCCUGUUUCUAUCUUUGGUGUCUCCAAUGAAUACAAGAGCACAGCUGCAACAUUCUCAGUACAGAAAGAAUUAAGCACAGCUUGGAGAAGAGAUUAAAAGUCCUAAGCAUGGGAUUUAUGAAAAAACAAAAGCAUCAAAAACCACAUACAAGAACCAAGUUGGAUAGAAGAAAGUUUGGCAAGUAAAGUACAUUUUCUGCAUUUUCUCUUUUAGAAGAUUAUGAUUACAUGUAAUCUCACACUCCUGAGCAGAUGCUAUCUGUUUUCCCUUCCAGAGCUUUAGGCUGCAACCAACCCGAGACAUAAAGGAGACAGGGGAAGCUGUGAAAGACUGCAAGGAUUUCUUAACAUGGUUUUUAAA